GAGUUUGAUCCUGGCUCAGAUUGAACGCUAGCGGCAGGCCUAACACAUGCAAGUCGAGCGGAUGACGGGAGCUUGCUCCUUGAUUCAGCGGCGGACGGGUGAGUAAUGCCUAGGAAUCUGCCUGGUAGUGGGGGGACAACGUUUCGAAAGGAACGCUAAUACCGCAUACGUCCUACGGGAGAAAGCAGGGGACCUUCGGGCCUUGCGCUAUCAGAUGAGCCUAGGUCGGAUUAGCUAGUUGGUGGGGUAAUGGCUCACCAAGGCGACGAUCCGUAACUGGUCUGAGAGGAUGAUCAGUCACACUGGAACUGAGACACGGUCCAGACUCCUACGGGAGGCAGCAGUGGGGAAUAUUGGACAAUGGGCGAAAGCCUGAUCCAGCCAUGCCGCGUGUGUGAAGAAGGUCUUCGGAUUGUAAAGCACUUUAAGUUGGGAGGAAGGGCAGUAAGUUAAUACCUUGCUGUUUUGACGUUACCGACAGAAUAAGCACCGGCUAACUCUGUGCCAGCCGCCG
RNAcentral lists this ribosomal RNA (514 nucleotides) under bacterium enrichment culture clone ALO1_GLFRUDD03F2NSE. RNAcentral's name for it is "bacterial SSU rRNA". It matches the Rfam family "Bacterial small subunit ribosomal RNA", at positions 9 to 517 of the family's 1533-position model. The record is from RNAcentral.